Picea glauca (white spruce) is the source of this 2998-nucleotide non-coding RNA. The record is from Rfam. NCBI's taxonomy places the organism in Eukaryota, Viridiplantae, Streptophyta, Pinopsida, Pinales, Pinaceae.
UGACCCCGGCUCGAGUAAGAACACCCCCUAAGUCUAAGCACAUAAUUCAAUGGAGGAAAAGAAACUUACAAUGAUUCCCCUAGUAACAGUUAGUGAACCGAGAAGAGCUUGGCAUGAAAAUCGAGCAGCAACAUCCCCUGAAUUGUAGUUUGUAGAAGCAUCCUUAGAGGUGGACUGAGCCCAAGUCCCCUAGAAAGUAGUACCUAAGAGGUUAACAUCACUGUCAGUACCUACUACACCACAAGGCAUUGGCAACAAGUCAGGUUGUUUGGGAAUGCAACUAUGAUUGGGUGGUAAAUUUUGUGCAAGGUUAAAUAUGAGUGAGAGACCGAUAAUGAACAAGCACUGUGAGAGAAAGAUGAAAAAUACUUUGAAAAGAGAGUUAAAUAACGCUUGAAAUCACUAGGAGGGAAGUGAACAGAGGUUGGAGAUGCAUCUUGGUCAUAUACAAAACAGCUCAAGAUGCUCUCCAGCUGGACUCAAGGUUCAAACUAGCACACAUUGGUGCACUAGCACAAAUGCGGGGAGAGAAUUGUUUGUUGUUUCACCAUUGUGGCAGUUGAGGAAUGAAGUUUGUGUACAUGCAGUGGGCCACUCUGCACCUGCAUGCUCAUGGUGCUCAUUAGCGGACUUUCCAUUUGACCUAUCUUGAAACACGGACCAAGGAAACUAACAUGUGUGUGAGUCGAUGAGUUUUAAAGCUUGCAAGGCACAAGGAAGUUGGCCAACAAGAUCCCCUCUAUGUGGGUGCACUGUUGACUGACCUUGAGCUUAUGCGAAGGGCUUGAGUGCGAGCACCCCUAUUGGGCCCCAGAAUAUGGUGAACUAUGCCUAAGCAAGGUGAAGCCAAAGGAAACUCUAGUAGAGGCCUAUAGUGACAUUGAUGUGCAAAUAAUUCUCUGACUUGCGUAUAGGGUGAAAGACUAAUCAAACCAUCUAGUAGCUAGUUUCUCCAAAUUUUCCCCUAGGAUCACUAGAGCUCACUUACGAGUUGUAUCGAGUAAAGCAAAUGAUUUGAGGCAUCAAGGGCAUAACACCCUCAACCUAUUCUCAAACUUUAAAUAGGUAAGAUGAUGUGGCUACUCCAUUGAGUCAUACCACGAAAUCGAGAGCUCCAAGUGGACCAUUUUUGGUAUGCAAAUAUAGCAAUGAAAGAUGAACUAAAAAUCAAGUUAUGAUGCCAAAUUAUGGGCUAAUCCCACAAAGCAUGUUGGUUGAUUAAUAUAGCAAUAAAAUUGUUAUGGAAGUUGAAUCUGCUAAGGAGUGUGUAACAACUAACUUCCCAAUUCAACUAGCCCUGAGAAUGGAUGGUGCUAAAGUGUGUGACCUAUACACAACAAUUGAAGCAAUUGCCAAGCUCCAAUGAGUAAGAGGAUGUGGGGGUCAUUAAACUUUGAAUGUGACACUGGGUAUACCAACCCCCAAUGCAAAUCUUGAUUGUACUAAGUAACAAGUAUUCAAAUGAGAACUUUGAACAUUGAAAUGGGGAAAGAUUCCAUGUGAACAAGGAUUAGACAUGGGUUAGUAUAUCCUAAGAGAUGGUGAAGCCUUGUAUCAAGGGAACUCUACAUGAACAUCGAAAGGGAAUUGAGUUAAUAUUCUUGAACCGGGACAUGGCAGUGGACAACAACGUAGGAAAUACAGAAAUGUCAUCAAAGGCCCUAGGAAGACUUAUAUUUUCCUUUUAACAACUUGUCCACCCUAGAAUCGAUUCAACAAGAGAUUGGGUCCAAUCUCUAAAAGAGGAAAGCAUGCCUUGUAGUGUUUGGUGUGCAUUGAUGGCCCUUGAAAAUCUAGAGGACUGAGUUAUGUUCAUGCCUAGUCCUACUCAUACAACAUCAAAACUCCAAGAUGAACAUCCUUUGGUAAAAAUAGAACAAUGUAGUUGAUGGAAGUUGGCAAAAUGGAUUUGUAAAUUCCGAAAAAGGAUUGGCUCUGAGGGUUGGGCCUAGGGGUCUACAUCCUAAACCCAUGGGAUGCCCAAGCUACUAUUGCAACAAGGGAAAUCAAUCACAUGUUGAAUGGGCUAUGGAUGUAGAGUUCCCCCUAACAAGGACUUUCCCUAGGUGGCGAAUAGACGAUUAAGAACUAGUAUGAACAAGGGAGUCUCACUAUUUAAUUAAAACAAAGCAUUGUGAUGAUCCCUGCAGAUGUUGACACAAUUUGACUUUUGCCCAAUGCUUUGAAUGUCAAAGUGAAGAAAAUCAACAAAACCUGGGUAAACAAUGGGAGUAACUAAGACUCUCUUAAGGUAGCCAAAUGCCUCAUUAUCUAAUUAGUGAUGCACAUGAACGAAUUAACGAGAUUCCCACUAUCCCUAUCUAGUGAAACCACAACCAAGGUAAUGGACUUCAUGAACUCAACAGGGAAAGAAGAUCCUAUUGAGCUAGACACUACCGUGCAUUUGUGAAAAGACAUGAGAGGUGUCGAGAAAGUGGGAGUGGUUGUUAGCACAAGUGAACACCACUACUUUUAACAUUAUGUUUACUUAUUAUGUGAGGCAAAGAUGGAGCAUUUGUUGGAUUACUGAGAGGGAGGGUGAAUCAGUAAUAGAGCAAUUUAAUCCCUUUUAACCAUAUAAUCCAAGUGUUAUAUCAAUGAAGCAUUGUCAUCCAAUAACUGCAGAGUAAAUAAGCAAUGAACAAAUGAACAAUCAUACACAUACACAGUACACCAGUGUUUUAUGUGGAAACCCAAAUCAAGAGAGAACCACGGAAUGUUUUUUCUUAUAUGUCUUGAAGAAUUACAUUCAUUGGAAGCACCAACUUCCUUUGUUUUCCAGCUGCAACUGGAAGGAGGGUCCAACCCCCUAGUUUCUUAUGCUACAACGUGAGGGAAGCUCCAACUCCCCAAUUAUUUGGAUACAACCAGAAGGAGGCUACAACCCCCUAUGUUCUUCGGCUACAACCGGAAGGUGGCUACAACCACCUGUCCUUGCCCCAUCUUGCCACCCUGAAGUAGAAGUAGAAUGAUGGAACCACUGUCACACUAUCACUGU